CUUUAACACUGAGGCGUGACGACGAGGCACUACGGUGCUGAAGCAACAAAUGCCCUGCUUCCAGGAAAAGCCUCUAAGCAUCAGGUAACACGAAAUCGUACCCCAAACCGACACAGGUGGUCAGGUAGAGAAUACCAAGGCGCUUGAGAGAACUCGGGUGAAGGAACUAGGCAAAAUGGUGCCGUAACUUCGGGAGAAGGCACGCUGACACGUAGGUGAAGUGAUUUACUCAUGGAGCUGAAGUCAGUCGAAGAUACCAGCUGGCUGCAACUGUUUAUUAAAAACACAGCACUGUGCAAACACGAAAGUGGACGUAUACGGUGUGACGCCUGCCCGGUGCCGGAAGGUUAAUUGAUGGGGUCAGCGCAAGCGAAGCUCCUGAUCGAAGCCCCGGUAAACGGCGGCCGUAACUAUAACGGUCCUAAGGUAGCGAAAUUCCUUGUCGGGUAAGUUCCGACCUGCACGAAUGGCGUAAUGAUGGCCAGGCUGUCUCCACCCGAGACUCAGUGAAAUUGAACUCGCUGUGAAGAUGCAGUGUACCCGCGGCAAGACGGAAAGACCCCGUGAACCUUUACUAUAGCUUGACACUGAACAUUGAGCCUUGAUGUGUAGGAUAGGUGGGAGGCUUUGAAGUGUGGACGCCAGUCUGCAUGGAGCCGACCUUGAAAUACCACCCUUUAAUGUUUGAUGUUCUAACGUGGACCCGUAAUCCGGGUUGCGGACAGUGUCUGGUGGGUAGUUUGACUGGGGCGGUCUCCUCCUAAAGAGUAACGGAGGAGCACGAAGGUUGGCUAAUCCUGGUCGGACAUCAGGAGGUUAGUGCAAUGGCAUAAGCCAGCUUGACUGCGAGCGUGACGGCGCGAGCAGGUGCGAAAGCAGGUCAUAGUGAUCCGGUGGUUCUGAAUGGAAGGGCCAUCGCUCAACGGAUAAAAGGUACUCCGGGGAUAACAGGCUGAUACCGCCCAAGAGUUCAUAUCGACGGCGGUGUUUGGCACCUCGAUGUCGGCUCAUCACAUCCUGGGGCUGAAGUAGGUCCCAAGGGUAUGGCUGUUCGCCAUUUAAAGUGGUACGCGAGCUGGGUUUAGAACGUCGUGAGACAGUUCGGUCCCUAUCUGCCGUGGGCGCUGGAGAACUGAGGGGGGCUGCUCCUAGUACGAGAGGACCGGAGUGGACGCAUCACUGGUGUUCGGGUUGUCAUGCCAAUGGCACUGCCCGGUAGCUAAAUGCGGAAGAGAUAAGUGCUGAAAGCAUCUAAGCACGAAACUUGCCCCGA
Molecule: ribosomal RNA, 1273 nt
Filed under: Salmonella enterica subsp. enterica serovar Typhimurium
Lineage: Bacteria; Pseudomonadati; Pseudomonadota; Gammaproteobacteria; Enterobacterales; Enterobacteriaceae
Description: partial 23S ribosomal RNA
Rfam family: Bacterial large subunit ribosomal RNA
Source: RNAcentral